UUAGAAAUUAAGCUGUUAAUUAUUUUAAGUGACGCCAGAUACUUUUCUAAAUACAGCAUUUUUCACCUUAUUUUGGUAGGUAGGUAGGUCUGAAGGCCAUCAUAGACAUAAUAGCCACUUUAAAAUAUUAUGAUCCAUAGAUUUCUGAAAUCCUAGAGUCUAAGGUAUUGAUUCUGAUUAUACAGUGAGGCUGUAGAAGUCAUGGAAAGCAGUUUAUCAUUAAUUCUUAGAAACUUGCUAGGGGUGUGUUUCUUUUCAUUUUAAUAGGUUGAUUGUCUAGACUUACACUGCCCAGUACAGUAGCUGCUAGUCAC
Molecule: long non-coding RNA, 314 nt
Filed under: Homo sapiens (human)
Lineage: Eukaryota; Metazoa; Chordata; Mammalia; Primates; Hominidae
Description: HSALNT0182739
Source: RNAcentral